RNAcentral lists this small nuclear RNA (105 nucleotides) under Salvator merianae (Argentine black and white tegu). Lineage: Eukaryota; Metazoa; Chordata; Lepidosauria; Squamata; Teiidae. The record is from RNAcentral.
CUUUCAGAAGGAGAAAGAAUUGCCUUCAUGUCAAUGAUACAGAGAAGAUUAGCAGGGCCCCUGUGCAAGGAUGACAUGCAAAUUCAUGAAGCAUUCCAUACAUUA